CCACAACCAAAAAGACAUAGGAGAAGAGAACAGUAAACAGUUUCGUAAUGGCUCUAAUCCGGAUCAACUCCAGUGUUCAUUUCUUGAUGGCACUUAUGAUGAUUUCAAGCACUUUAUUGUCGAGUGAAGCAUCAGGGAGGAACAUAGGCAUGGAAGCUAACAUUGGCGUCGAGGGGCGCCGUGAACCUUACACUCCUUGUUCAGAUCCUUCAUUUUGUAAUGACAUCUGCAAGCGAGAUGGUAAGGGAGGUGGGACCUGUAGUGGCGGUGCCUGCUACUGCAACAGAGAUUUGUAGCAAGAAAAUGACUAAGAAUAAAGUUUGGGAAUAAAGAUUCACUUGGGAGCAUUAA
This is a long non-coding RNA of Triticum dicoccoides, 351 nucleotides long. RefSeq lists it as uncharacterized. The record is from RefSeq and is a predicted model, not a curated record. The transcript is spliced from 2 exons. Lineage: Eukaryota; Viridiplantae; Streptophyta; Magnoliopsida; Poales; Poaceae.